Molecule: long non-coding RNA, 529 nt
Filed under: Oryzias sinensis (Chinese medaka)
Lineage: Eukaryota; Metazoa; Chordata; Actinopteri; Beloniformes; Adrianichthyidae
Description: lncRNA (ENSOSIG00000010862.1)
Source: RNAcentral
CCCCACCCCUGCUGAGUCUAAUCUGAUAGACCAUCCGUCCCCAAUCACCGGGGGAUUCAGACGUGUCAACUAAGAGGGUGGCCAGGUAUCAGUGAAGAUGUGACAGAGCCUGCAUGCAACGGUCGCUAUGACAGGACUGAAGGGGACCCUCCUCUUAGUUUUGGUCACUCUGCUGGUGCUUGAAAGUCGGAGCUUCGAGCUGCAGGACACCAUCCACGCUCUGCUGGAGGAGAACAUCCACCUCCAUGACCAGCUGGAAAACCUCACCCAGGCCCUCAGGGAGCUUAAGCGGAUGCUGUGGCUGCACGGGAACGAUCCAGAGCAUCAGGAACACUACGAUGAUGAAGACGUGCAGCAGCUGUGGGACGAGUGGUCCCAGCAUGGCAUGAGCGGUGAAACCCAUCUUCUCUUGGAACACGCCUUUUGUGGACACGAGCAGCACGACUCGGCGGCCCCCCUCCAUGAAGAAACCGGCCUCCUGGUGCUGGUGUUGCCCUGCUUAGCCCUGCUGUUGCUCCGCUGUUUGUAG